CAGUAGCCACGGUAAUACGAAGGUCCCGAGCGUUGUUCGGAAUCACUGGGCGUAAAGGGAGCGUAGGCGGCGUGGUAAGUCAGAUGUGAAAUCCCGGGGCUCAACCCCGGAACUGCAUCCGAUACUGCCAUGCUAGAGGAUUGGAGAGGUAGCUGGAAUUCUUGGUGUAGCAGUGAAAUGCGUGGAGAUCAAGAGGAACACUCGUGGCGAAAGCGAGCUACUGGACAAUAACUGACGCUGAGGCUCGAAGGCCAGGGUAGCGAAAGGGAUUAGAUACCCGCGUAGUCCCUGUCUCUUAUAU
Molecule: ribosomal RNA, 301 nt
Filed under: uncultured bacterium
Lineage: Bacteria
Description: partial 16S ribosomal RNA
Rfam family: Bacterial small subunit ribosomal RNA
Source: RNAcentral